Molecule: long non-coding RNA, 517 nt
Filed under: Capsicum annuum
Lineage: Eukaryota; Viridiplantae; Streptophyta; Magnoliopsida; Solanales; Solanaceae
Description: long non-coding RNA (CANN_LNC017005)
Source: RNAcentral
GAUAUUCCUGGUGUUGGUGUUCUUCUUGAUGGGAAAAUUGAUUUUUUUAGGAUUGAUCUCCUUCCGAACACCCAUUAUAUCUUUAUCCCUUCUUACGGAAUGGAUCCAGCUGAGUCAACAGAAUUUAAGGAGCAAUUGAAAGAUAAUCUUGAUUAGGGUUGUCCGCCCUAGCAUUUCUCCAUAGGGUGUUUCCGCUCUUCUAUACAUAAGGGGGAUGUUUUUCUUUGAAUAUGUAUAGGUUAUCGCGAAUGAAUAAGGAAUUUAGGGUGACCUCUAGUGGGGUGGACUAUCUAUAUAUUUUACGCGGGGUACUCUAUUAGUAGUGCAUGAUAGAUGAUAGACACUAAGUUUUAAACUAAGAUAUUGAUUUUGGUGAAAGGAGUAUGUUAGCUCGAGGAUAGCGAUGCGAGAUUUAUGGAAGUAAAUUGGUAGGCUUGAUGGGGUGUGCGGAAGAGAUGAGGUAGAUGACUUAGGGAAUACUGGAGUGGAAAAAUUAUGAUAUAUAGGCCAGGGGUCC